Molecule: ribosomal RNA, 214 nt
Filed under: Bacillus cereus
Lineage: Bacteria; Bacillati; Bacillota; Bacilli; Caryophanales; Bacillaceae
Description: partial 16S ribosomal RNA
Rfam family: Bacterial small subunit ribosomal RNA
Source: RNAcentral
UAUUGGGCGUAAGCGCGCGCAGGUGGUUUCUUAAGUCUGAUGUGAAAGCCCACGCCUCUACCGUGGAGGGUCAUUGGAAACUGGGAGACUUGAGUGCCUAAGAGGAAAGUGGAAUUCCAUGUGUAGCGGUGAAAUGCGUAGAGAUAUGGAGGAACACCAGUGGCGAACGCUUCUUUCUGGUCUGUAACUGACACUGAGGCGCGAAAGCGUGGGG